AAACAUGUGAUGAGAUGUUCAAAGUGAACUAUAAGCCCUUUAAGGGGAGCUUAGAUUCUCAUCUUCUGCUCCUUCUCAUUAUAACCAAGAAACAUUAAUUUUGAUGCUGACAUCUGAGGCAGGUUCUGCAGCAGCUUCUCAUUUUUUUUCAAAUUACAUGUUGGACUGCAAUUAACAACGUAGACAUGGCACCGACAAUCUACUCUGCAUCCCUCCACUCACAAAAACGUUCUGGAGAGACUGCACUUCAUCCACGCAAAGAUAAGGCACAGUGGCUCAUACCUGUAAUCCCAGCACUUUGGGAGGCUGAGGCAGGCGGAUCACCUGAGGUCAGGAGUUUGAGAACAGCCCGACCAAAUGGAGAAGAGGGUGGUUCUACAGUAGCUAUUUCCAAUUGGCAGUUGUGCAUGACCAGAAGCUUCAGAUCAAGUGAGUCAACCAGGACCUAAAUCCAAGGCCUCUGUUCCACUACUGGACAACAGCCCUUUUCAUGGUACAGAUUCCACAAAAGAGAGACAAAGGAAGAGAGGGAAGCAAAAGCCAGGAGAGAGGGCUACGCUGGAGAUUUGAAUCAGCUGGAUUGUUCACCUUCAGAGCUCAAAACCAAAAGAGCAAGAAUUUCCAAAGAGCAAAAAAAGUAUUGUCUUUGCAGAAAGCACAAUACUCUUCCCCUUUUCAAGUUGCUUUUUACCUAUCUGAAGAACACCAGGCCAUCAGAGGCAAUGCACUGGGUUAGACUUACAAGUCAACUUUUCAGGAGAAACAGCACCUAGAGAGAGCUCAAGGUUUGGUCUCCGACUUCAGAGCUGAUUCAGAAUUCUGAUUCUGUUUUCCUACAAGAUGAGCCCCACAUCUCUGUAACUUUUUGCAUAAUGUAUAGAACUACAUAAAUAA
Long non-coding RNA from Symphalangus syndactylus (siamang), 894 nucleotides. RefSeq lists it as uncharacterized. NCBI's taxonomy places the organism in Eukaryota, Metazoa, Chordata, Mammalia, Primates, Hylobatidae. The record is from RefSeq and is a predicted model, not a curated record.